CGCAAGUAGAGUGGCGAACGGGUGAGUAAUACAUCGGAACAUAUCCAGUAGCGGGGGAUAACCUGUCGAAAGAUAGGCUAAUACCGCAUACGAUCUACGGAUGAAAGCGGGGGAUCGCAAGACCUCGCGCGAUUGGAGCGGCCGAUAUCUGAUUAGGUAGUUGGUAGGGUAAAGGCCUACCAAGCCGACGAUCAGUAGCUGGUCUGAGAGGACGAUCAGCCACACUGGAACUGAGACACGGUCCAGACUCC
Molecule: ribosomal RNA, 251 nt
Filed under: uncultured bacterium
Lineage: Bacteria
Description: partial 16S ribosomal RNA
Rfam family: Bacterial small subunit ribosomal RNA
Source: RNAcentral